This 497-nucleotide ribosomal RNA is filed under the name uncultured bacterium. Its description in RNAcentral is "partial 16S ribosomal RNA". It matches the Rfam family "Bacterial small subunit ribosomal RNA", at positions 28 to 507 of the family's 1533-position model. The record is from RNAcentral.
GAUGAACGCUGGCGGCGUGCCUAAUACAUGCAAGUCGAGCGAACGGACGAGAAGCUUGCUUCUCUGAUGUUAGCGGCGGACGGGUGAGUAACACGUGGAUAACCUACCUAUAAGACUGGGAUAACUUCGGGAAACCGUAGCUAAUACCGGAUAAUAUUUUGAACCGCAUGGUUCAAGAGUGAAAGACGGUCUUGCCGUCACUUAUAGAUGGAUCCGCGCUGCAUUAGCUAGUUGGUAAGGUAACGGCUUACCAAGGCAACGAUGCAUAGCCGACCUGAGAGGGUGAUCGGCCACACUGGAACUGAGACACGGUCCAGACUCCUACGGGAGGCAGCAGUAGGGAAUCUUCCGCAAUGGGCGAAAGCCUGACGGAGCAACGCCGCGUGAGUGAUGAAGGUCUUCGGAUCGUAAAACUCUGUUAUUAGGGAAGAACAUAUGUGUAAGUAACUGUGCACAUCUUGACGGUACCUAAUCAGAAAGCCACGGCUAACUACGUG